Molecule: ribosomal RNA, 349 nt
Filed under: uncultured archaeon
Lineage: Archaea
Description: bacterial SSU rRNA
Rfam family: Archaeal small subunit ribosomal RNA
Source: RNAcentral
GUUAAGUCUGCCGCCUGGGAAGUACGUACGCAAGUAUGAAACUUAAAGGAAUUGGCGGGGGAGCACCACAAGGGGUGAANNNNNNGGUUCAAUUGGAGUCAACGCCAGAAAUCUUACCUGGGGAGACAGCAGAAUGAAGGUCAAGCUGAAGACUUUACCAGACACGCUGAGAGGUGGUGCAUGGCCGUCGCCAGCUCGUGCCGUGAGAUGUCCUGUUAAGUCAGGUAACGAGCGAGACCCCUGCGUCUAGUUGCUACCAUUACUCUCUGGAGCAGUGGAGCGAAUUAGACGGACCGCCACAGUUAAUGUGGAGGAAGGAAGGGGCCACGGCAGGUCAGUAUGCCCCGAA